CAGCAGCCACGGUAAUACGAAGGGUGCAAGCGUUACUCGGAAUUACUGGGCGUAAAGCGUGCGUAGGUGGUUGUUUAAGUCUGCUGUGAAAGCCCUGGGCUCAACCUGGGAAUUGCAGUGGAUACUGGGCAACUAGAGUAAGGUAGAGGAUAGUGGAAUUUCCUGUGUAGCGGUGAAAUGCGUAGAUAUAGGAAGGAACACCAGUGGCGAAGGCGACCACCUGGGCUCAUACUGACACUGAGGUGCGAAAGCGUGGGGAGCAAACAGGAUUAGAUACCCCAGUAGUCCCUGUCUCUUAUAC
Molecule: ribosomal RNA, 301 nt
Filed under: uncultured bacterium
Lineage: Bacteria
Description: partial 16S ribosomal RNA
Rfam family: Bacterial small subunit ribosomal RNA
Source: RNAcentral